This 73-nucleotide transfer RNA is filed under the name Pteropus alecto (black flying fox). It matches the Rfam family "tRNA". Rfam says of the family: Transfer RNA (tRNA) molecules are approximately 80 nucleotides in length. Their secondary structure includes four short double-helical elements and three loops (D, anti-codon, and T loops). Further hydrogen bonds mediate the characteristic L-shaped molecular structure. tRNAs have two regions of fundamental functional importance: the anti-codon, which is responsible for specific mRNA codon recognition, and the 3' end, to which the tRNAs corresponding amino acid is attached (by aminoacyl-tRNA synthetases). tRNAs cope with the degeneracy of the genetic code in two manners: having more than one tRNA (with a specific anti-codon) for a particular amino acid; and 'wobble' base-pairing, i.e. permitting non-standard base-pairing at the 3rd anti-codon position. RNAcentral also lists the same sequence under 1 other name. The record is from Rfam by way of RNAcentral. Lineage: Eukaryota; Metazoa; Chordata; Mammalia; Chiroptera; Pteropodidae.
GGCUCCAUAGUGUAGUGGUAGCACAUCUGCUUUACAUGCAGAAGGUCCUGGGUUCACACCCCGGGUGGAGCCA